Molecule: ribosomal RNA, 460 nt
Filed under: uncultured bacterium
Lineage: Bacteria
Description: partial 16S ribosomal RNA
Rfam family: Bacterial small subunit ribosomal RNA
Source: RNAcentral
CCUACGGGAGGCAGCAGUGAGGAAUAUUGGUCAAUGGCCGUAAGGCUGAACCAGCCAAGUCGCGUGAAGGAAGAAGGAUCUAUGGUUUGUAAACUUCUUUUAUAGGGGAAUAAAGGUAUCCACGUGUGGAUCUUUGCAUGUACCCUAUGAAUAAGCAUCGGCUAACUCCGUGCCAGCAGCCGCGGUAAUACGGAGGAUGCGAGCGUUAUCCGGAUUUAUUGGGUUUAAAGGGUGCGUAGGUUGUUUGUUAAGUCAGCGGUGAAAGUUUGUGGCUCAACCAUAAAAUUGCCGUUGAAACUGGAAGACUUGAGUGUGUUUGAGGGAGGCGGAAUGCGUGGUGUAGCGGUGAAAUGCAUAGAUAUCACGCAGAACUCCGAUUGCGAAGGCAGCUUACUAAGCCAUAACUGACACUGAAGCACGAAAGCGUGGGGAUCAAACAGGAUUAGAUACCCCUGUAGUC